GAAAUUCAGAGAUGCUUUUUUCCCACUUGGAAAUUUUGUGAUUAUUGGAGAGAAUCAUAGUCAAUGUAGUUUAUUUUAUUUUGGGGGGGGCAAGUUCAAAUCAUCUCUAAUUUUUUCACCAAUGCUUUUCUAUCUGGUAAGUUCCGAGGAGGUGUCAAUGUUUAUAUUUUUAUUUUUUGCUGUGCACAAACCGUGUUGAGACAAUCUGGGUUCUAGACAAAUUCGGGUGGAUAGACGUUUUCAGUGACUUUCUAGACUCCUGGGGUUGCUUGCAGCAGGAGCCAGCUGGACCCGAAGAGGAGGCUGGACCUGAAGCUGGAGCCCAGGAUGUGGCCUGAAGAACCCACUGUCAUUUGUUGACAGGGCCAAGGAGCUUCAGGGCUCAAACUCUCUCAAAAAACAUUGUGCAGAGUGAGAAUCAAGCCUGGGUGCCCUCCCAGCCUCCUUGGUUCCUGCAGGGUAUUUCUGGGUCUGUACCACCUGGCCUCAUGCUUGUUCUGGUCCAGAAACUGCCCGAGAGCACCUUCCUCUGAGGGUCCCGCUCCAUCCCCCUGGGGUUCUAAGGGGGAGUCUUGGUUAUCAUGCC
RNAcentral lists this long non-coding RNA (586 nucleotides) under Marmota monax (woodchuck). Lineage: Eukaryota; Metazoa; Chordata; Mammalia; Rodentia; Sciuridae. The record is from RNAcentral.